GACGAACGCUGGCGGCGUGCUUAACACAUGCAAGUCGAGCGGCAAGGCCCUUUCGGGGGUACACGAGCGGCGAACGGGUGAGUAACACGUGGGUGACCUGCCUUUAGCUCUGGGAUAAGCCUGGGAAACCGGGUCUAAUACCGGAUAUGACUCCGCGGCGCAUGUUGUGGGGUGGAAAGCCUUGUGCGGCUGGAGAUGGGCCCGCGGCCUAUCAGCUUGUUGGUGGGGUGAUGGCCUACCAAGGCGACGACGGGUAGCCGGCCUGAGAGGGCGACCGGCCACACUGGGACUGAGACACGGCCCAGACUCCUACGGGAGGCAGCAGUGGGGAAUCUUGCGCAAUGGGCGAAAGCCUGACGCAGCGACGCCGCGUGAGGGAUGACGGCCU
RNAcentral lists this ribosomal RNA (388 nucleotides) under uncultured bacterium. RNAcentral's name for it is "bacterial SSU rRNA". It matches the Rfam family "Bacterial small subunit ribosomal RNA", at positions 28 to 417 of the family's 1533-position model. The record is from RNAcentral.